RNAcentral lists this ribosomal RNA (403 nucleotides) under uncultured bacterium. RNAcentral describes it as "partial 16S ribosomal RNA". It matches the Rfam family "Bacterial small subunit ribosomal RNA", at positions 30 to 526 of the family's 1533-position model. The record is from RNAcentral.
AUUGAACGCUGGCGGCAGGCCUAACACAUGCAAGUCGAGCGAGCGGCGGACGGGUGUGUAAUGUAUGGGGACUUCUCCAUAUAGGGGGAGAACUACUGUAAACGGUGGCUAAUACCGCAUACUAUCGGAUGAACCAUAUGGGAUUAGCUAGUAGGUGAGGUAAUGGCUCACCUAGGCGACGAUCCCUAGCUGGUCUGAGAGGAUGAUCAGCCACACGGGGACUGAGACACGGCCCAGACUCCUACGGAGGCAGCAGUGGGGAAUAUUGCACAAUGGGCGCAAGCCUGAUGCAGCCAUGCCGGGUGUAUGAAGAAGGCCCUAGGGUUGUAAAGUACUUUCAGUGGGGAGGCGUUACCGACAGAAGAAGCACCGGCUAACUCCGUGCCAGCAGCCGCGGUAAUAC